Non-coding RNA from Pelobates cultripes (western spadefoot toad), 217 nucleotides. The record is from the annotation of a GenBank genome assembly. NCBI's taxonomy places the organism in Eukaryota, Metazoa, Chordata, Amphibia, Anura, Pelobatidae.
CUCUGGCUCCCCUAUCGUACCAUCUGCGCUGUCGUUGCUGGGCCGCCUGGAGAUUAGACUGUACCGUCUGGAUUAGGGUCUCCAAGCGUUCCCUGAACUCUAGUACAUAUGGGACAAUAGGGGUACCGUUACUGGUGACUGUUCCCUCCCAGUGUUCCCUAAUGAGGUCUAAGGGACCCCGCACUCUCCUUCCGAAUAGUAAUUCAAAUGGUGAGAA